RNAcentral lists this ribosomal RNA (252 nucleotides) under uncultured bacterium. RNAcentral describes it as "partial 16S ribosomal RNA". It matches the Rfam family "Bacterial small subunit ribosomal RNA", at positions 524 to 776 of the family's 1533-position model. The record is from RNAcentral.
UACGUAGGGGGCUAGCGUUAUCCGGAAUUACUGGGCGUAAAGGGUGCGUAGGCGGGCUUUUAAGUCAGCGGUAAAAAUUCGGGGCUCAACCCCGUCCGGCCGUUGAAACUGGGGGUCUUGAGUGGGCGAGAAGAAGGCGGAAUGCGUGGUGUAGCGGUGAAAUGCAUAGAUAUCACGCAGAACCCCGAUUGUGAAGGCAGCCUUCCGGCGCCCUACUGACGCUGAGGCACGAAAGUGCGGGGAUCGAACAGG